GAUGAACGCUGGCGGCGUGCCUAAUACAUGCAAGUCGAGCGAACAGACGAGGAGCUUGCUCCUCUGACGUUAGCGGCGGACGGGUGAGUAACACGUGGAUAACCUACCUAUAAGACUGGGAUAACUUCGGGAAACCGGAGCUAAUACCGGAUAAUAUAUUGAACCGCAUGGUUCAAUAGUGAAAGACGGUUUUGCUGUCACUUAUAGAUGGAUCCGCGCCGCAUUAUCUAGUUGGUAAGGUAACGGCUUACCAAGGCAACGAUGCGUAGCCGACCUGAGAGGGUGAUCGGCCACACUGGAACUGAGACACGGUCCAGACUCCUACGGGAGGCAGCAGUAGGGAAUCUUCCGCAAUGGGCGAAAGCUUGACGGAGCAACGCCGCGUGAGUGAUGAAGGUCUUCGGAUCGUAAAACUCUGUUAUUAGGGAAGAACAAAUGUGGAAGUAACUAUGCACGUCUUGACGGUACCUAAUCAGAAAGCCACGGCUAACUACGUG
This 497-nucleotide ribosomal RNA is filed under the name uncultured bacterium. Its description in RNAcentral is "partial 16S ribosomal RNA". It matches the Rfam family "Bacterial small subunit ribosomal RNA", at positions 28 to 507 of the family's 1533-position model. The record is from RNAcentral.